AAGAAAUUUAAUAAUUUUGAAAAUGGAUUUUUUUUUUGUUUUGGCAAGAGCAUGAGAGCUUUUACUGGGCAAGAAGACAAGAGAUGGAGAGUCCAGCCGGGCCUGCGCUUAAGUGCGCGGUCUUGCUAGGCUUGUAAGUUUCUUUCUUGCUAUUCCAAACGGUGAGAGAUUUCUGUGCUUUUGUUAUAGGACAAUUAAAACCGUUUCAAUACAACACACUGUGGAGUUUUCAUAUCUUUGCAACUUUUUCUUUGGGCAUUCGAGCAAUCGGGGUCCAGAGGUUAACAAACACAAACAAUUUUAUCUAUUCAUUAAAUUUUUGUCAAAAACAAGAAUUUUCGUAACUGGAAAUUUUAAAAUAUUAAAAACUUUCAACAACGGAUCUCUUGGUUCUCGCAUCGAUGAAGAACGCAGCGAAAUGCGAUACGUAAUGUGAAUUGCAGAAUUCCGUGAAUCAUCGAAUCUUUGAACGCACAUUGCGCCCCUUGGUAUUCCAGGGGGCAUGCCUGUUUGAGCGUCAUUUCCUUCUCAAACAUUCUGUUUGGUAGUGAGUGAUACUCUUUGGAGUUAACUUGAAAUUGCUGGCCUUUUCAUUGGAUGUUUUUUUUUUCCAAAGAGAGGUUUCUCUGCGUGCUUGAGGUAUAAUGCAAGUACGGUCGUUUUAGGUUUUACCAACUGCGGCUAAUCUUUUUUAUACUGAGCGUAUUGGAACGUUAUCGAUAAGAAGAGAGCGUCUAGGCGAACAAUGUUCUUAAAGU
Molecule: unclassified non-coding RNA, 758 nt
Filed under: Saccharomyces cerevisiae (brewer's yeast)
Lineage: Eukaryota; Fungi; Ascomycota; Saccharomycetes; Saccharomycetales; Saccharomycetaceae
Description: partial contains ITS1, 5.8S rRNA, ITS2
Rfam family: 5.8S ribosomal RNA (bases 367-520)
Source: RNAcentral